UCCUUAUCUGCGAUUUGUUCAUUAUAUUUCAGACAUUUUUUGCAUAUUUCGUACAUUUAACCUUAACUACCGCAUCCCUCUUGCUUGACUAGCGCGUAAUUUGAUAAGCAAAUGCGCAGCAGAAACCACAUAAAAGCGAAUCUAACACCAGUGAUGCUGUGCACGGGUCACCAGUGAGCAGUAAAAUGAUCCGAUUACCAAUUACAUGCUAUCAAACAAUGCAAGCAAGAACUAUUGAGCGAGUCAAGUUUUUCGAUGCAAGAGCUCACUAAAGUAAGCAUUACAAAUGGAAUUUACGGGCUUGUACCGUUGCGGACAAAGAGUCCAGGCAACAAUAAAAACACCACGAAGAUAUGAACCAGCUGAAGGCGUUUAAUGGGAGCAGAUGAAGUUAAUGGCUAAGAAGGAACGUAUGAACAUAUUUUAUAAAAUAACGCCAAUUGUGACCUUAACGAUCAUCAUAAUAUUGCCAAUAGCUAUACACUAUACCUAUACUUUCCUCGUCAAUAAAGAAAAUUGUCUGGUGACGCACACUAUGGGGCACCCAAAAGACCACUUGAUUAAUUGUCAACUGCAACAUUAACGAUAAAUAGUAGAGCCGAUUAUGAAAUGCGAAGAUAAACAGCCGACAGCAACGGAAAGGAACGAAGCGGAUAAAUUACGAAGCAGUAAUGAUGGCUCGGACAAUGGGCAGCGAGUGUCAAAAACACCAACAAACCAAAGUACAAAGCAAAGGUAAUAGAAUCUAUAUUUUAUGAAGGUAUUAUGAGCGGCACUGGCGUGUUAUAGCUGGCAGCUUGUUGUAAGCGGAAAUAAAAGUAACGACCGGAAGAGCAUCUUGUCAAAAGGAAUAGGUUGUUGUUGAUUUUUGUUGUUAACACCGGAACGGCAGCGGCUUUUAGGCCUUGUAAACGCUCGCACGCACUACCAUACACAAACAAACAAGUUAAUGCACGCAUGUAUGUUUCUUCAUGCCCGCACACGCUUCUUUAUAUGCAUUUAUGGCAUUAUGUUUUUUGUUGUGUAAAACACCGUUGACUUAUUUACUACACAUCUACUUAAGUCGUAUUUACUUAUUUAAGAAGGCUUAGCGACCAUUAGCAGCUGUACAAUAUUUUCAUAUGUACAAGUAUGUACUUGUAUACUUGUAUACCGUUUCUUUGCACAAUGCAGGAAGAAAUUGAUUUUAAGCGCAAAUAAAUAACAGACUAAAUGCAAAGAAAUGCGAGACAUUAACAAAUAUAAACCACGAAACAAAAGGGAAAUCACUUAAAAACCAAAAUAUAGCGGGAAAACAGGGAAACGUUGUUUUUCACAAUAUUGAAUGAAAGAGUAAUAA
This is a long non-coding RNA of Bactrocera neohumeralis, 1339 nucleotides long. RefSeq lists it as uncharacterized. The record is from RefSeq and is a predicted model, not a curated record. NCBI's taxonomy places the organism in Eukaryota, Metazoa, Arthropoda, Insecta, Diptera, Tephritidae. The transcript has 5 exons.